AGUCAUAUGCUUGUCUCAAAGAUUAAGCCAUGCAUGUCUCAGUACAAGCCAAAUUAAGGUGAAACCGCGAAAGGCUCAUUAAAUCAGUUAUGGUUCCUUAGAUCGUACCCACUUUUACUUGGAUAACUGUGGUAAUUCUAGAGCUAAUACAUGCAAAUAGAGUUUCGACCGAAAACGGAAGAAACGCUUUUAUUAGAUCAAAACCAAUCGGCGGCGAGUUUACUCGUCGUCGUACAAUUUGGUGACUCUGAAUAACUUUAAGCUGAUCGCACGGUCUAGCACCGGCGACGCAUCUUUCAAAUGUCUGCCUUAUCAACUGUCGAUGGUAGGUUCUGCGCCUACCAUGGUUGUAACGGGUAACGGGGAAUCAGGGUUCGAUUCCGGAGAGGGAGCCUGAGAAACGGCUACCACAUCCAAGGAAGGCAGCAGGCGCGCAAAUUACCCACUCCCGGCACGGGGAGGUAGUGACGAAAAAUAACGAUACGGGACUCAUCCGAGGCCCCGUAAUCGGAAUGAGUACACUUUAAAUCCUUUAACGAGGAUCAAUUGGAGGGCAAGUCUGGUGCCAGCAGCCGCGGUAAUUCCAGCUCCAAUAGCGUAUAUUAAAGUUGUUGCGGUUAAAAAGCUCGUAGUCGAAUUUGUGUCCCACGCCGCCGGUUCAUCGUUCGCGGUGUUAACUGGCGUGCCGCGGGACGUCCUGCCGGUGGGCUUAGCUCUUUACGGGGCGGCCCAAAUCAAUCCCGCCGCGGUGCUCUUCACUGAGUGUCGAGGUGGGCCGGCACGUUUACUUUGAACAAAUUAGAGUGCUUAAAGCAGGCUAAAAUUUUGCCUGAAUAUUGUGUGCAUGGAAUAAUGGAAUAGGACCUCGGUUCUAUUUUGUUGGUUUUCGGAACCCCGAGGUAAUGAUUAAUAGGAACGGAUGGGGGCAUUCGUAUUGCGACGUUAGAGGUGAAAUUCUUGGAUCGUCGCAAGACGGACAGAAGCGAAAGCAUUUGCCAAAAACGUUUUCAUUGAUCAAGAACGAAAGUUAGAGGCUCGAAGGCGAUCAGAUACCGCCCUAGUUCUAACCAUAAACGAUGCCAGCUAGCGAUCCGCCGACGUUCCUCCGAUGACUCGGCGGGCAGCUUCCGGGAAACCAAAGCUUUUGGGUUCCGGGGGAAGUAUGGUUGCAAAGCUGAAACUUAAAGGAAUUGACGGAAGGGCACCACCAGGAGUGGAGCCUGCGGCUUAAUUUGACUCAACACGGGAAACCUCACCAGGCCCGGACACCGGAAGGAUUGACAGAUUGAGAGCUCUUUCUUGAUUCGGUGGGUGGUGGUGCAUGGCCGUUCUUAGUUGGUGGAGCGAUUUGUCUGGUUAAUUCCGAUAACGAACGAGACUCUAGCCUGUUAACUAGGCGUAUUAGACAUCUUAAAGGCCCGCUUAGUCCGGGGUUCGCCUCGUGGCUAGCGCGGUUUUUACUGUCUACGUAUAUUAUAUUCUUCUUAGAGGGACAGGCGGCUUCUAGCCGCACGAGAUUGAGCAAUAACAGGUCUGUGAUGCCCUUAGAUGUUCUGGGCCGCACGCGCGCUACACUGAAGGAAUCAGCGUGUCCUCCCUGGCCGAGCGGUCCGGGUAACCCGCUGAACCUCCUUCGUGCUAGGGAUUGGGGCUUGCAAUUGUUCCCCAUGAACGAGGAAUUCCCAGUAAGCGCGAGUCAUAAGCUCGCGUUGAUUACGUCCCUGCCCUUUGUACACACCGCCCGUCGCUACUACCGAUUGAAUGAUUUAGUGAGGUCUUCGGACCGGUACGCGGUGGCGUUUCGACGUUGCCGAUGUUGCUGGGAAGAUGACCAAACUUGAUCAUUUAGAGGAAGUAAAA
RNAcentral lists this ribosomal RNA (1860 nucleotides) under Holoparamecus tenuis. RNAcentral's name for it is "SSU rRNA". It matches the Rfam family "Eukaryotic small subunit ribosomal RNA". Lineage: Eukaryota; Metazoa; Arthropoda; Insecta; Coleoptera; Endomychidae. The record is from RNAcentral.